UACGGAGGAUGCGAGCGUUAUCCGGAUUUAUUGGGUUUAAAGGGUGCGUAGGCGGCUUUUUAAGUCAGCGGUGAGAUUUUGCAGCUUAACUGUAAAAGUGCCUUCGAAACUGGUUUCCUUGAGUGUAGAUGAAGUAGGCGGAAUUUGUGGUGUAGCGGUGAAAUGCAUAGAUAUCACGAGGAACUCCGAUUGAGCAGGCAGCUUACUAAACUACUACUGACGCUCAGGCACGAAGGCGUGGGGAUCAAACAGGAUUAGAUACCCCUGUA
Molecule: ribosomal RNA, 269 nt
Filed under: uncultured prokaryote
Description: partial 16S ribosomal RNA
Rfam family: Bacterial small subunit ribosomal RNA
Source: RNAcentral